RNAcentral lists this ribosomal RNA (506 nucleotides) under uncultured bacterium. RNAcentral's name for it is "bacterial SSU rRNA". It matches the Rfam family "Bacterial small subunit ribosomal RNA", at positions 29 to 513 of the family's 1533-position model. The record is from RNAcentral.
AGCGAACGUUAGCGGCGGGCCUAACACAUGCAAGUCGAACGCGAAAGGUCUUCGGACUGAGUAGAGUGGCGCACGGGUGAGUAACACGUAGGUAAUCUACCCUUUGGCGGGGGAUAACGUUCCGAAAGGAGCGCUAAUACCGCAUAAGACCACGGAGUCUCCGGACGCUGUGGGAAAAGGUGGCCUCUUCUUGAAAGCUACCACCGAAGGAUGAGCCUGCGUCCCAUCAGCUAGUUGGUAAGGUAAUGGCUUACCAAGGCGAAGACGGGUAGCUGGUUUGAGAGAAUGAUCAGCCACACUGGCACUGGAACACGGGCUAGACUCCUACGGGAGGCAGCAGUGAGGAAUAUUGGGCAAUGGGCGCAAGCCUGAUCCAGCAAUGCCGCGUGUGUGAAGAAGGCCUGCGGGUUGUAAAGCACUUUCAGUGGGGAAGAACAGAUUCGGGUCAAUACCCCGGAGCCCUGACGUUACCCACAGAAGAAGCACCGGCUAACUCCGUGCCAGCA